CCUACGGGAGGCAGCAGUGAGGAAUAUUGGUCAAUGGUCGCAAGCCUGAACCAGCCAAGCCGCGUGAGGGAUGAAGGUACAGAGUAUCGUAAACCUCUUUUGUCAGGGAACAAAGGCGGGGACGUGUCCCCGGAUGAGUGUACCUGAAGAACAAGCAUCGGCUAACUCCGUGCCAGCAGCCGCGGUAAGACGGAGGAUCCGAGCGUUAGCCGGAUUUAUUGGGUUUAAAGGGAGCGUAGAUGGGUUGUUAAGUCAGUUGUGAAAGUUUGGGGCUCAACCGUAAAAUUGCAAUUGAUACUGGCAGGCUUGAGUACAGUUGAGGUAGGUGGAAUUCGUGGUGUAGCGGUGAAAUGCUUAGAUAUCACGAAGAACUCCGAUUGCGAAGGCAGCUUACUAAACUGACACUGACGUUGAGGCUCGAAAGUGUGGGUAUCAAACAGGAUUAGAUACCCGUGUAGUC
RNAcentral lists this ribosomal RNA (460 nucleotides) under uncultured bacterium. RNAcentral's name for it is "partial 16S ribosomal RNA". It matches the Rfam family "Bacterial small subunit ribosomal RNA", at positions 338 to 795 of the family's 1533-position model. The record is from RNAcentral.